This 497-nucleotide ribosomal RNA is filed under the name uncultured bacterium. RNAcentral's name for it is "partial 16S ribosomal RNA". It matches the Rfam family "Bacterial small subunit ribosomal RNA", at positions 28 to 507 of the family's 1533-position model. The record is from RNAcentral.
GAUGAACGCUGGCGGCGUGCCUAAUACAUGCAAGUCGAGCGAACGGACGAGAAGCUUGCUUCUCUGAUGUUAGCGGCGGACGGGUGAGUAACACGUGGAUAACCUACCUAUAAGACUGGGAUAACUUCGGGAAACCGGAGCUAAUACCGGAUGAUAUUUUGAACCGCAUGGUUCAAAAGUGAAAGACGGUCUUGCUGUCACUUAUAGAUGGAUCCGCGCUGCAUUAGCUAGUUGGUAAGGUAACGGCUUACCAAGGCAACGAUGCAUAGCCGACCUGAGAGGGUGAUCGGCCACACUGGAACUGAGACACGGUCCAGACUCCUACGGGAGGCAGCAGUAGGGAAUCUUCCGCAAUGGGCGAAAGCCUGACGGAGCAACGCCGCGUGAGUGAUGAAGGUCUUCGGAUCGUAAAACUCUGUAAUUAGGGAAGAACAUAUGUGUAAGUAACUGUGCACAUCUUGACGGUACCUAAUCAGAAAGCCACGGCUAACUACGUG